CAUCUCUAGACGAAUGUGCUCAACAGACGAAAUUAGAAAUUCAGGCAACUGCUUCACCUGACGUAUUCAAAGGACAUGUGAUCAAACAUUGCAAAGCCAGAGGCAUGUGGGAAUAAAGUCUUUAUUCCUGUCCCAUGAGUGAUUCAACCUUGCAUUUACAUUCAUUGAAAAAUAGGCUUUUGUCUCCAAAUAAACGCAGGCGCUGGAACCACUGAGCUAAAUCCCCGGCCCUGCAAAAUUUGUUUUUAAUGAAAAUAGAAAUUCAAACCAUUCCUGAACACGAAUCCCACAAAGCAGGUGACUAGAAAAGAAGCAGAUGACCAAAGGCCACUUAAUAUCCUAAGCUGGGGAAAGGACUGUGGACUUGGUGCUGCUGGGAGUGAUGGGGACAAUUACAGAAGGGGAAGGACAGAGAGAGAUGAUAUCUCGGGCAACAUAAAAAGCUAUUUAUUGCAUCUUUACUAAAUUUAAUUCAUGAGAAGGCACAGAUGUGGAAACAACCCUGACAAUUCUUCCACCUCCCAUGAAUUGAAGUCUGGAAAUAGCCAACGGACUGGUAUUCAUAAAAAUUGACUUUGAACAAACAAAUGGGAAAAAAGGGCAAUAUAAUACUUGUAAUCCAUCCAUGCACUGCAAUAUUUUCUUAAUAUAACAAAAUCAGGGUGGACACUGAUAACCUUUGGGAAUAUUCCAUCAACUUUUUGUAUCAUCC
Molecule: long non-coding RNA, 712 nt
Organism: Heterocephalus glaber (naked mole-rat)
Lineage: Eukaryota; Metazoa; Chordata; Mammalia; Rodentia; Bathyergidae
Source: Ensembl